GCACUGCCUUGGAACCUCUGCAGCGCCUGCCCCAUGGCCUCAGGGGUCAGGUGGCGGCGCCAGAGCGAAGCUAGCUUGUCCAGGUCUGGGGAUGCUUAGAGACCACCUACGUGAUUCCUUUGGCAGCAAGUGACAUUU
This is a small nucleolar RNA of Camelus dromedarius (Arabian camel), 138 nucleotides long. Lineage: Eukaryota; Metazoa; Chordata; Mammalia; Artiodactyla; Camelidae. The record is from Ensembl.